Manis javanica (Malayan pangolin) is the source of this 8241-nucleotide non-coding RNA. Lineage: Eukaryota; Metazoa; Chordata; Mammalia; Pholidota; Manidae. The record is from RefSeq and is a predicted model, not a curated record.
GCCGGAGGUGGGCGCGUGGGGGCUCGGGGGAAAAGGCUGGGUUUGUGUUUGUGUGUGUGUGAUUGUGUUAGGACGCCGGGAAAGGUGGGGGUUGGCAAGGCCGACUCGAGACGAGUUGCCAUCGAGGUUUCUUCGCUCCGGCUUCCUCUUCUGCCCCGCGACCCCCUCCCCCCGGGAGCGGAGCUGGGAGGGGGAACCAGGAUUUUAACCAAAUUAGCAAUCACAUUCCCGGCAGGAUGCAGCCCUCGCCUGGACCUGGAUGAUAGAAGCUUUUUGCUCUUGUUUUUAUUUUUGGAAAGGAGUGCCCAGUAAUUGUCCUAGACACAUGCUUCUCCCGCACACCCCCCUUCCUCCUCCAGCCAGCAGCGGAGGAGAGUGUCCCCCUUUUUUGCAUUUAUCUUUUCCUUCCCCUUUCUUUAUUAAAGGUCCGGGAGUGGCGGCGACCAAUCAGCGUGCGGCUUCCAUUUUGUAAGUUCAACUCCGAGGCUCCUGGGCUUUGCGAGGAUGCAUUUGCAGCCCCUCUACCUGUCCAGUCGGGCGCCCGAGGAGAGAAAACCGCCUCGCUGGGGCUUCGUGGUGGUGUAUUUCAUAUUGGGGCUCUUUUCGGGGUUUGUAAUUUGGCCGUGGGUAGGUAAUUGGCUGGAGCGGGGCGGCAGGGCGCGGCAGCCAAUCAGCGCACGGCUUCUAUAGGCCUUGAGUUAUUAGACGCUGAUCUCAAAACAUCCUUCAUCAGACACCAAGGAGAGGCCAACAGAUGAGGGGAGCCAUUUUUCUGCAAUGGAAUUAAAUGGCCAAGUGGGUUCUUCUUUGUUGCAAAUGGGGAAUGUUUUUCCUUUGACUCCACCAUCCAGUUCAGGACGCCUCAGUGUUGUGUUUAACAUUUGCCAACAGGCUAAAGGACUCACAAUUGGAAGAAUGAAGAAGACUUUUUAAAAAGAUCUGGAUAUUUCCUUAUGACUUGGAAUCCAUCUUUGUCUUGUAUAACUAGGUCAUAGCACACCAUUAAUGUCAGCAGUUAACAAUUUUGAAUUCCAAAAAACCUAAGUAAAUGACAUAUUUAAUUUUUUUUCCUCUUUUUUUCUUGGGUUGAUGGUGGGGGGAGCUUGGAGCUGUCUUAAUCUGUAUUCUCUUGACUGAACAAUAAAUUUUAUAGUUUCCUCUAUUAAACACUUAAAUCUGACCAUUUUAUUAACUCCUCUCUUUGUAACAAGGUAACGUUUUAAAUGUAUAGUUUUAAGACUAGCGAAAUGGCAGUAACAAAAAAUGUUAAGCAUUUGUUGACGCUUUUAAGUUUUUAAAAACGUUGUAAGUACCCAAUCCAUUCUGUCCUUAACGCAGUGCAGUUUUCAUGUUGAUGUUGCUGAGAUGUCCUUAAUUUUCUGAGCCUUCAUCUGCAUGUAUGUCUGUCGCUCUUGUCUAAGCCAGUUAAGAUGCUUUUAGACGAUUUUGCUUUUAUAAAGCUAUGGUUUUAGGUUUAAGCUUUUGAAAAUGUUUACAGCAAUAAAUGUUAGCUUUCUUCCCCGUAACAUGCACACUUUCUUUGAAAAUCGAUCUACUUAAAGAACAGCUCUGUUUUUCUCGUCUUAUAGAAGGGUGGGUGAGGGAAAGGAAGACCUCUUUGUGUAAAGACAAAAGCCGUCACAGGAAACUAGAUUAAAACUGGAAAACAAGUCCUAGCUGGUUCGAGCCAAACACUAACGUUAACUCGUGGGUAUUUUCUAUGGUGGUUGGGAUGGCCGUGCGUGUUUUGCCUUUUGUUUGAUUUGACUGUAUUUUCGCCUUUUGUCUCUUAAUUACGAUCACACCAUUACUAUAUCCAGAGCAGUAAACAGUACUCAGCGAAGCUUCGCCUCUUGCCAACCCAACCCUGGAAAGUUUGCAGAAGUGGAAGGAGCAGAAAAUGCCUUAAGAGUGUAACUUACAAAAAGCUUGAUCUUCCAGACUCCAUGGCACCGCGCUGAGCGGGGUAAGUAAAAAAAAAAAAGUGUAUUUUGCCCCUUCGAGGAAAUAUUUUUUCGAGCAGGCCAAGAGCUGCAAAUGUUUGGGAGCUGAGGGGAGGUUUCUGGAGUUUUGUUUGGCAGCUGUUUCGGGGAGGGCUGGGGGAGCACGGAGGGCUCUUCAGACCCUUUUGCCCCUUCUUCCCCUGAGGCGAGGUCUCCCCAGCGACCUGGGGCAUCCCUGGGGCCGCCUGCGCGCGUCCCCCUUUCUUUUCUAGGUUUGUGCUUUGGUGGGGGGAAGAAGAAAGUAAACUGUUCUGGAGAUGUGGGGCUCAGAAGAAGAGGAAACCCUACCGCCUGGCCUCGGGUUUCUUUCCCUUUUUACUGUGGGGGCUUGCACUCCGAAGCCGGCUUUUUGGGGCUCCCGGGCGCGCCUGCGCUUCCUGAGCAAAAAAGGACAAAGGCCGGCGUCCAUGUUGCCAUCAUGACGCAGCAUCUCUCCCGCCUGCAGCCCCAGCGCUGCCUGUUCUCCCAGCCGCGCUCGCUCCUCCCUCGCAAAAACACGAGUUUUAUUUUCAGGUUCAGAGCAGAGCCGCCGUCCGGGCCGGGGGUCGGGGCGAAGGCGAGGCGGGGUCCGGUUCUCGGGCGGGCCGGACUGCGGCGGCUAAUGGCGGCCGCUCUCCUCCUCCUCCCGCCCUCCUUCCCCGGUUGUCGUUGGGAGCCCGGAGCAGGCGGUGGCUCGGCCGGGCUGCGCCCCGAGAGCCAGCACGGCGCAGCGCCCCGCGAUGAGGGGUGGUCGCGGAGGCAGUUUCUGGGGCCGCGGGCCCGGGAGCUUCGCGCGCUGUCUCCCGCGCCUUUGCCUCCACCGGGCCAGGCGGCCAGACGGGCGCCAUUUCGCGCGCCGCCCGCGGCUCGGGCGGUGGCGGCUGCCGCUCGCCGGGCGGGAGGAGGGAGGAGGGAGGCGGUGGCGGCCGGGGGGAGGGGAGGCCGGCGUGUCGCCGCCCGCGGUCAGGCUUCCACCCGCGUGGACGCCCCUGGCUGGGGAGGCCUCGACGGUGAGCUCGGGUUCCGAAGCCGCCUCGGACUCCGCGCCCGACUCGGGGGGCCCCCGCAGGCACGAGGCGGCCUCGCCCGUUUGCUGGGACGCGGGUGCUUUUCCGUCUCCCUCCCGCUCGGGAGCCUGUGGCCAAGGGCCACGGGGCCGAUCAGGGCCCCGACUCCUCCGGAGCCCGCGGAAGCCUCCUCGGCUGCCCGGACUGACCCUGGGCCUCGGCGCCCAUAUUUGGCUCCCAAGCGCUCUUUGAGAGACGAGCGCAAGGGGCGGAGGGGCCCUUUGUUUCCACUUUAGGUGUGAGGCCUUCACGGAGGCCACCGACUCCCAGUUUGGCCGUCCGGGUCACACCAUCCAACCCGGCGCUCCAGAGGCUGCGGCGGGCGGGGGCGGGAGGUCGAGGUGUUGGGGCCGCCUGGGAAGGCUGCGUAGGCCUUUCCCGGGAUCCCCAGACGCAGAGGGCUCUGGGCUAAGCCCUCAGCUCUCCGUCCCUUCCUUGGGGAGGGGAUGCGGUCGGGGCGAGCCUUUGGAAAUGCAGAUGAGUCGCCUCCUGCCGCUUUUCGCCUGGGCUGAACCUUAGUGACUCAGCCACCCCCUCCUACCCGUUCCAGAAUGAGGGCCACCUUGGCAGGCUCUUGGCCGGAGAAGGGGCAACGGCCCGGUACCCCCAGAGUGGACCGUCCUCCCUUGGACAGCAGGAGCAGGUCUAGCUUGACUCUGACAAUCCGCCCACUAAGGUAGGUGUGGGCCCUUUACCAGGCUGCGAGGGAGAUUUGGGGGGCUUUGGCCUGGAGCCCAGGGAGGGCGGGCACCCCAAACCCGCUAGGCUGGUUCUGCAGCCCCUCCCCCACGCAGAUGUGUGGGGUUGUGUGUGUGAAAUCGGCCGCCUGCUGGGCCUGCUUGGUCCAUCCGUCCCUGCCUGUCAGCUUCUGUUGUCAACAGAGUUUGGGGCGUGCAGUUCUCUGCCGUAUUUAGCAGCAUAGAAGAGGCUGCACUUGCAAGUAUUUCCCAGUUGUGUGCUUUGUGGUGGGGGGAGGGCACUGGAUGCCUCUUCAGAAAGGCACAGUCAGCUGCUAGGAAGCCCCGCCCUGCUCUGGCCCUCCCUUCCGGCCCCCAGCGGGGGCAUGUGGGGUGACUGCGUGAGCGGCCUCUUCCCCUCUGGUGUCUGGCUGCUAGGGAGGUGAAGAACAGAAGCUGGGCCAGCUUCCUGAGAAAGAGGUUUCUUGAUUCUUCUCCCACUUCCAGGGAAUUCCUGCAGUUUUCUCACCUCCCCCAAAGAACCCUGUUUCUAGUCAGAAUUUAAAACCUGGCUACCCAUUUACCUGCUAUAAACUUGCAUAAGCUGCACGGUCUCUGAACUCGUUUCCCCAUCUGUACGAUGAGUCUAGGUCAGUGAUUCUCAGCCCUGAGUCUACACCCAUAUCACGGGGGUUGGGGUUGGGUCUGGUCCUUGUCCUUGUUUCUUAUUGAGUAUGUAGGGGUCUGAGAACUUGAAAUUUCCAACAAGUUCACAGGUGAAGCUGAUGCUGUCAUCUGGGGACACAUUUUGAGAAUCUUUGGGCUGGGUAACACCUAGGGUGUAGUUAGGAAGACCAAGCUCAUGGGCUUGAAUCCUGGAGGUCAGUGCUUGGCACACACUUCUGCCCCGUCGUGAUGACAAAUCUCUUACUCCCCUAACACAAGUUGACUGCGCACAGUUUCCCAUCCUCUCUGUCUCCAGGAAGCUCCACGGGUGGAGAUGGUUGUGACCCUUGAUCUCUGACCCCUCCCCCAUGUGAUAGCUAGUUUGUGAUUACUUUGAUGAACCAUUUGGGUCUAGGUGCCACAGAUCGAGGCAGCCUCCCCCGUUGGGGCCAAGGUCUGGCUUCUGUGUUGGAUCUGCCAUGCCCACUUUUACCCCACUGAGGGCUAGACUGAGGUUUGGGGGCCCCAUAGGGCUUACCUAGAGAUUUUGUUGAGGCAUCUUAGUGCUUAAUCAAGGGACGCUCUAAGGCUGCUGUGGGUUUGAGUCUUAGCUGUGCUGGCGACCUUAGGCUAGUUUCCUGUGUAAUGGUGGCAGGGUGGUGGCAGGAUUAAGUGUGAUUAAAGGGCUGCCUCCUGUUCAGGCUUCUCUCUAUUUGGCCUUCAUUUCCACGUGGCUGCCGGGAGUGGGGGCAGGGCUAUCUUGGAGCUCCUCCCUCCAGUCCACCCCCACCCACCCCCCAAGCACGUGGCAAAGCUUCAGGGCAAAAGGGAAGACUGGUUUUCUGUAGGCUGCAAGCCAGCACCAGUUUUUCCUCCUGUGCAGUUUGAGUCAGAUGGUGGCCUGCCCCCAGCUCCACGGACUGUUCCCAGGAUCAGGUCAUGAUCUGGGGGGAGGGGAGGACACACACACGGCAGCCCAGAGUAGAAGUGACACACCCAAGGUCAUGAGGCAGCCACCAGUGGCCAGGACAGGGUUCCAGGUGUCUUGACUUCCAUCCCAGCGGCACUGUCCAUGGCACCCCCCUCACCCCAGCUGUCUGGGUUAUUUUGGGCUCCCUCCCAUGCCAGCUGUCUGCUGGCAUCACUGCCUGGCAGCUGUGGAAGCUGGUUGAAAGUAGCUGGCAUGGUGCUGUUGGCCACCAUACCUGGGCCUUCUGAGGCUCUUCCAAGUCCCAGAUAAGCUGGGGUUGGUCCAUUUUGUCGUUCUCCGGGGAGAAGGGGAUGCACCCCACUGCACGGGGCACCACACUUCCCCCAACCUGGGGUGGGGGAAGGGAUGGGGAAAAGCACUGUGUAAAAUUUGCUGAGGCCCACAUUAGUAUCCUGUGAGCCUCUUACCUCCUUCCACACUGCCCCCAAACCACCUGAGGUUUAAAUUACACUCAGCCACUGGUGUCCUCACCUGACAGUUCUGCCCCUGAGGGUUCUGGGGAGGCAGUUCUCCCCAGGUCCUGAAUUCCCUUGGAUAGAGUCCUGGGGGGGUCUCUGGGCUAGGGGUCUUUAUCUCCUUUGGGCAUUGGAUAGUGAAAUAAUUUAUAUCUUCCCCUCCCUGCAUCCUGGAGGGUUACAGCCAGUUUCUCCACUCAGCCCUCAGACCAAUUAGGGAGCAAUAAGGUGCUAAACUGUGGUCUGGGUGUGAUUCUUAGAAGGGAGAAGUGUCUCCUCCCCGCUACCAUUUCUCUUUCUCCCUUUUCCUACCUCUUUGUCACCAACCCCAACCCCCUGGGGCAGGGAGCGGCAAGCCAGCCCUCUCCUGAGCUGCUGAUACCCCCGCCCAGAGGGUGGCCCCGCCCCGCCCCGCCCCGCCCCUGGUCGUGCAGGGAUCUGGGGGCGGGGCCGCUCCUGGCGCUGCUGUGAGGGCUGCCUGGAGAGGGCCACGCCAGCGGAAGGGAGGCCCUGGGCGCUAGGAGGUGGCUGGACCUGCUUUACUACUGGACGCCAGGGUCCCGCCUCUUCCGGCCCAUCGUGGAACAUGACUUUUGGCCCCUCUGGGUGUUGACCCAGUCUCUGCUGUGGAGAGAAGCACCCUUCUGUCUUGGCCACUGUCUGUGUCCAAUGCUGGCUGUGGAUGUCAGCAAGUUCCCACCCCUCUGGGAGGCCAGACCUCCCCAUGUGAACCAAGAGGAAGAAGUUGGUUGAUGAUCAUUUGAGCUGUUUUCUAAGUCUGGCCUUGUGAGGGGAGCAUUUUUGUACUUGAUCAGUGGACCCCCACCCCCAAAGUGCUGAGGGGUGACUUGGGGAAAGUCCUUGACUUCUGAGGCUACUCUUGACCAUCUCUCAUCUCUAGGACCUCACAGAACAGGAAGGCUCUGUUUCACCUGGAGUGGAUGAUAUUUCAGGUGCGUAGUUACCUCUCAAAGUAUUCUGAAGCACUGGGAAAGUAGAAGCCAUUAGAAUUGUUACUAACUUCCCACAGUGACCUGUGCUGGCCAGACUUUGCUUAACAAAACAGAAGUGAAUCUGGCCCCCCUACUUAUCUCCUGUGCUCAGUUGGCAUCACUGUGGCACAGGCCAAAUGCACUCACCUCACAAAUGCCACCUGGUCAGCUCCCCUAAGCUUCUGUGUUCAACAGCUCUUUGGCAAGAACCAAUUUGCCCUCCUAAAUCUCUCUAGGAAUUCCCAGUGAAUAGGAAGCAAAUUACAUGGGUCCUCAGAACAUCUCCCAGGUAAGGGAGCAGGUAUCCCUGGGUGUGUUGGCAUGCCCAGCUCCUCAGCUGGCCUGCCCUGGCCCAGCUGCUUCUGAGGAGGCUCAGAGCAGCUGGCCUGGCUCCUAGGUAUUUUUAUGUAUAGAUCCAUCCUGGAUCCAACACCACCACUGGAAUUGGGUCCAAAUCAAACACAUUCUAGGCUCAGUGGGGCUAGGGUUCUGCCAGCCUCUUGGCCAGGCAGGGGUGGGUGGAUGGGCUGAGGCCAGUGUCAGCUGGUCUUCCUGGACCUCGGAAUGCUGAGAAGACUCACUUUUCCUUUUCCUCUCCCUCAGUUUUAUGUAAGUCCUUUGUUCUGUCUUAAGUCAAAAUUGCAACCCCAUUUCUCAGAUGGAGUAAGUGGAAACUGAGGUCUGAAGAUUUUGAGGAAAAUCAGGAGCCCUCCUGUGGGCUCGUGCAGCUAAGUUGGAUUCAGGUGACACAGUUUGCUCAGAAUGGGGUGGCCCUCCUACAGGAAGGAAUUCUCCCCAGGUCCCUCCCAGAUGAGGUAGCUUCCCUCUCUGAGCUUCAGGGUCCCUAUUUGAGGUCAGGCCUGGGGCUGGCUGCAAAGGUAAGUGGCCCCCUGCCUCACUCAAAAGUCCCCUUCUGCCCUCUCUCCUUGGGAAUAGUCCCUCCAUCCUGGCUUGGCUUCUCUCCCCUGCUGUAGUCCUGGGGAGCCUUACUACUGACAUGUCGCUAGACCAAGUGCCCUCUUUCCCCAGGUUGCACCAGCCAGUCACAGCUCCUCCCUAGUUACAGGAGAGACCUUGAGGGCCUAGUUUUGGCUGGCUCCCUAAUGCCAACACCCCACUUGAGCCUGGCAGCCAGGCUGUCCCUGAUCUAACUCCGGGUACCUUGACAACCGCGUGAAGCCUCACUCAUUCUCUAGCCACUUCAGAACCUCUGUCCAGGCUGGGUACCCAUCCUCCUUCCACUGGCCCACCCUCCCAACACUGCCAGUUGGUACAUGCCACAGAGCUCAACCUUGCCCGAACCCCACAGAUCUAAACUGUUCACAUCUUCAAACUCUGGACUUUCUCCAAGACUCAGCUUCUUAUAGGCAGGAACACAAUUGCCUCUCAAUAAAUUUGUGUUGCAAAAAAA